RNAcentral lists this long non-coding RNA (2351 nucleotides) under Phaseolus vulgaris (common bean). Its description in RNAcentral is "long non-coding RNA (PVUL_LNC005114)". Lineage: Eukaryota; Viridiplantae; Streptophyta; Magnoliopsida; Fabales; Fabaceae. The record is from RNAcentral.
AUCACAAAAUCUAUCUAUAGUGACUAAAUAAGUAUAUAUAAACCAUUAGGCAUUAAAACGGUCCUUUCCAUUUUAUUUUCUAAACAGGAAGCUGCUCAGAAAGGAUUGCCUGUAUGUCGCCAUCUAUUUCUUCAUUAUCCAAAUGAUGAACGUGUGCAAAAUUUGAGUUAUCAGCAGUUCUUGGUUGGUUCUGAGUUCCUAGUGGUGCCUGUUCUUGACAAAGGAAAGAAAAAAGUUAAAGCAUAUUUUCCAUUGGGGGAGAGUAGCAGUUGGGUUCAUAUCUGGACAGGAAAAGUAUUUUCCAAAGAAGGAAGUGAAGAAUGGGUAGAAGCUCCAAUAGGAUAUCCUGCUGUAUUUCUUAAAGUUGGCUCUCUCAUUGGAGAAACCUUUUUGAAUAACCUAAGAAGUUUAGGCAUUCUUUAAUAAAGCAUUCAUGGAAGAUGGAUGAAUCUUAGAUAUGUAACAUAGCAUGUAAGUUACUUAUCAAUUCAUGCCGCUGAAUUAAUUCAGUUGUGUAUUUUGUAUCAUUGCAAUCAAAGCUAGUGUAAAGAAAUAGUUGAAAGGAUCUGAAUCACUUAUAUUACACUCAUUAAGCAUCAUAAUAUAGAACAUUAUGUAUUAGUACAACUUCCUCAUUCAUUUCCAGCAAAUAGCUCUACAAAUGAAAUAAAACAUUAGGAAAUUGACAGAUAAGUGCUGCAUGGGAAACAGUUGUCUACUUCAUCCUGCAUAACUUUUUUUUAUCUAAAUAAAUAACAUAAUUCACAAAUAUGCAAACGGUCAACCACACAAACCUUAGUGGCAAAUUGAGCGGUUCGUGGUUUAUGUUUAGUUUGAGUUUAUUAAAGAGAACAACGAGAAAAAUUCCCAAGCCUCGUUCAAUGAUAAUUUUUCCUACAACAUCUUGAUCAGAGAAUGUAUAGAACACUUCUCUCCUCAAAAGCUAGAUAUACGAAAUGACAGAUUCUACUUUAAAUAGAAGUUUCAUGUCUUAUACUUACACAUUUUUUGUUCAUGCUCAUAUCCCUGAAAACUUAUUUGAGCCAAAUAACGUCGUGUAAUUCGUCUAGCCGCCUUGUUAUUGUAGUUGUUGCUCAUGUUCCUGCAUCUCUUCCACCUUUACAGCAUAUGGUUAAGAGAAAAAAGAAGAGAUGGCAACCAUGUUCUACAUAACACACAAACAACAAGAAUAAUUUGAAGCGUAGUUGGAAGGAAGACGUCUGUCCCCACAACCUACUUCCUCCUGACCUCAUAUCUGCGCAGCUUUCCCAAUGAGAUUAUAUUGUUUCCUACAUAGUUUCUGCACAACUGCGAUUCAAAUUCAGGCACAUAUAUAAAUAUGCUUCUUGCACAUGACUACAUGAGCCAGGAACAUUUUUGGUUGGAAAUACUUGUUAUGUCUAUUCUAUAAGAACUCAGAGAAAUAAAAGUUCUAGAGUUUAUCAUGACCCUCUCAUGUUAGCAUUUUUCUGGGACAAUGAGAAAGCAUUGAUUUCUACGUAGACAACCAGAACCUGAGCAUUCUAUCAUUCGCAACCAGUUAUAAUAGCUGCUAAACAAGAAAACAAAGCUUGGAAGAAACUUAAUGAGACCUAAGUCAAGUUUGACAUCUCAAUCUCUGAAAACUUUAGUGGGUGCUAAAUGUUGAACAUUUCAAAGUAAAGUACUAAAAUCCCAUCUUCUGUAGCAAGCAAUGAAUGUUAGGCUUCUUGAUGACACUACCACCACAUCCUUCUUAAGCAUUGAAAAUCCAUCCUGAUCAGGUUGAAUUUCAUGUCAGAACAUGAAUCGUUCUCAAUUUACAAAAUUUACAUACUAUUUCUCGUAGACAACAGCAUACUUAAAAAAAUCAUCACAGACAACUUUCCCAACGAUGAUGAAAACUAUCAAAACAACUUGCUUUUUAUGUUGGAUGGACUUGUUAUGUCAUCAAAUAAACAAGUUUCAACACAUCCACCACUCAUUGAUCAAGAGUGAUUGAAUACCCAGGAACUUAGAAGAGACAAUAUCAUGACAACAGUGCACAAAACUUCUACCAAGUUAAUCACAACAAACUAAUAAAACAUGUUAUUCAUCAUUCACUGAAAAAAGGAUGCAACCCCAUUUUACAUCACAUGCAUAAACCUUCAAUUUUCACAAAUGGUUGUAUGCGCGCGCGAACUUACAAAUGAGUUUCCUCUCAGUUCCACGAGGAAGCAAAAGAAUUGUUUGGUCUCUCAACAUUCAUGAGUUAAGGUUCCUCUUAUUGAAUAAGGUUGUUAAUAUCGAAUACUGUAGUGGCAUAUUCUCUUAAACUCUCUUUGGUGCCAUGUCAGAAAUAUUUUUGCUUGGUUUGAUGCCAGUUUAUGGCA